RNAcentral lists this ribosomal RNA (265 nucleotides) under uncultured Acidobacteriota bacterium. Its description in RNAcentral is "uncultured Acidobacteria bacterium partial 16S ribosomal RNA". It matches the Rfam family "Bacterial small subunit ribosomal RNA", at positions 139 to 390 of the family's 1533-position model. The record is from RNAcentral. Lineage: Bacteria; Pseudomonadati; Acidobacteriota.
GGGGAUAACGUCCCGAAAGGGACGCUAAUACCGCAUGACAUCCUGCCUUUGGACAGGCGGAGAUCAUCUAUCAAGGAUCGCAAGACCUGGCGCUUGAAGAGGGGCCCGCGUCUGAUUAGCUAGUUGGUGAGGUAACGGCUCACCAAGGCGACGAUCAGUAUCCGGCCUGAGAGGGCGGACGGACACACUGGGACUGAGACACGGCCCAGACUCCUACGGGAGGCAGCAGUGGGGAAUUGUUCGCAAUGGGCGCAAGCCUGACGAC